RNAcentral lists this long non-coding RNA (1263 nucleotides) under Homo sapiens (human). Its description in RNAcentral is "HSALNT0168932". The record is from RNAcentral. Lineage: Eukaryota; Metazoa; Chordata; Mammalia; Primates; Hominidae.
AGCAGUAUUAGAGAAAGAGGGGACAAUUCGUCACCCACCUAAAAGUAGUUGAAUAUCAAAAUAUAUCAAUUUUAUUUCUGCAUCAUAAAUUUAUAAUUUUAACAACUUUGAUCAUUAGCUAAUAUAGUAAUACAAAAAAAUGAGAAAAAAGAUGUUAAUAUUCCUCAUUUCCAUAAAGUGCAGAUUUAAUUUUCAAUUAUUUGCCUUAGUAAACAUUGUCUUAUUUCAGGUACUCCCUGCCCUCACUCAAAAAAAAGGGAGGGUGUUUAAUUUUUAUUGAACAAAUAUGUAAUACCAAGAAAAAGAUGAAAGACCCAAUAAUGUUUUUUGCAAACAUGUUUCCAGGUAAGAUUUCCAAGGACAUCAGUACUGAGUGAAAAAUAAUCCUUUACAGUCAAUAUGAAUGAAUACACUAACAAGUACAUCAUUUAGAUCUCCAUGCUUAUUUGGCAAUUCCAGUUAUGAAAAAGGUACAUAAAUAGUACAAACAAUUGGCUUGACAUGUGGCCAAACUACUUUCAUCGAAGUUGCUGGAAGCCUUUCUCUGGUUUUGGCCCCUGUAGGAAGUUAAUCUCAUAUUCCCUUAGCAAUAAUAUAAGGUCACUGUUUCAGUCCUACACACUUUUAUAUUCAAUGGGCUUCUUAGUUUAUCACAUAAGGACUGGCACUUUUUUCAAAAGAAUAUUGCUAACAGGGUUAAAUGAGUGCUAAUGGCUGAACGUUUGCCAAAUGCUUACUUCUGCGAUAGUAUAAAUAUGGAUUAUUAAAGUUGUCUACUCAAGUAUAAAAUAUAUGCAAAACUCUCAUAGGCAAAAUGUUCAAAGGCCGGGAAAAACCUUUUUUUUUUUUUUUUUUUUUUAACUUUUACGAGAAAGUGCAACUGCAGGGUCUCUUGAAUGAUCUUCUAGACAGUUCCGCAGAAAAUUAGCAGUUUGGCUCAGAAAGUAGAGUUCCUCAGGAGGAAUUAAAGUUCUUCCUAGAAGAAUACAAAGCAACGUUUCAGGCAGCUUUCUGAAAAUAAACCAUUAGCUUAUGCCUACACAGCGAGACAAACUGGAACGUGUAAUAAUGAAGGCUUUCACAUUUGUUGUGAUGUGCUUUUUUUCUCUUACCCCAGGACCUCUAGCUGUUCUGUAAUGUUACAUAAAGUAGUUAUAGCACUUCGUCCAGCACUGACAGCAGGCAGGAAGCUAAUCAGCGAGGAGAAAAUCGGAAGUGUGUUCAUGUGUUUCAUUGUUUUUCAGGUCAAAUCUCAAUACUUGC